UACGGGGGGGGCAAGCGUUGUUCGGAAUUACUGGGCGUAAAGGGCUCGUAGGCGGCCAACUAAGUCGGACGUGAAAUCCCCAGGCUCAACCUGGGAACUGCGUCCGAUACUGGAUGGCUUGAAUCCGGGAGAGGGAUGCGGAAUUCCAGGUGUAGCGGUGAAAUGCGUAGAUAUCUGGAGGAACACCGGUGGCGAAGGCGGCAUUCUGGACCGAUAUUGACGCUGAGGAGCGAAAGCCAGGGGAGCAAACGGG
Molecule: ribosomal RNA, 253 nt
Filed under: uncultured bacterium
Lineage: Bacteria
Description: partial 16S ribosomal RNA
Rfam family: Bacterial small subunit ribosomal RNA
Source: RNAcentral